GACUCGGUGGCGCAACGGUAUAUAGCGCGUCUGACUCCAGAUCAGAAGGUUGCGUGUUCAAAUCACGUCCGGGUCA
Molecule: transfer RNA, 76 nt
Filed under: Dermacentor andersoni
Lineage: Eukaryota; Metazoa; Arthropoda; Arachnida; Ixodida; Ixodidae
Description: transfer RNA tryptophan (anticodon CCA)
Rfam family: tRNA
About the family: Transfer RNA (tRNA) molecules are approximately 80 nucleotides in length. Their secondary structure includes four short double-helical elements and three loops (D, anti-codon, and T loops).
Source: RNAcentral